This 549-nucleotide long non-coding RNA is filed under the name Daucus carota (carrot). RNAcentral describes it as "long non-coding RNA (DCAR_LNC000135)". Lineage: Eukaryota; Viridiplantae; Streptophyta; Magnoliopsida; Apiales; Apiaceae. The record is from RNAcentral.
UUUUUUUAGAAUUAUACAAGGACUACAACAUGAGAAAGCGCCUAAAAUGAUUUGUGAGUUGGUUAGUGCAGUGAAUACAACAUAUGAAGAAGUAAGUCGGGGAGGAGAGUCUGCAACAUGCCGGUUGGGUCAUCGAACUUCAAUUUUUUUGCUGAAAAAUUGCUUGACUAAUGUAUUACCAUGCGUUUCUUCACCCUCUCCGGAGUAUCCUCCACGAUUUCAAAGAUAUCUAGAUAAUUUUUGAUUAUAUAUACGCGUAAUUCAGUAACCGGAGAUAACAAGGAUGGAGAAGAUACAAUUUCGGAGUCAGAAUCGGAAAUCUGGGCUGAAUCAUUUAUCAUCUGGGAUUCCAUCGGGUAUAUUGAAUCGAUAAUAUAAAAGGAGAGAUGAAGUAUGGUUUCUAGGGUUCAUGAGGAAAAGUGAUGGAGCGAGCUUAAAGAACGUGCGAGAGAGAGUAGAGAGUAUACGUGGUCUGGGUUAAGCGUGAAUAAAGUAAUUGUUUAAUUAAGUUAAUUAAACUUGAUUAACUUGUACUAAUGAAAGUAUUUG